Molecule: transfer RNA, 62 nt
Filed under: Temnothorax oxynodis
Lineage: Eukaryota; Metazoa; Arthropoda; Insecta; Hymenoptera; Formicidae
Description: tRNA-Leu
Source: RNAcentral
UAUGGCAGAUCAAGUGCAUUGGACUUAAAUUCCUCUCAUAAAGAACCAUUCUUUUAUUAAAA